UAGUCCACGCUGUAAACGAUGUCUACUAGCCGUUGGCCUCCUUGAGGGGUUAGUGGCGCAGCAAACGCGAUAAGUAGACCGCCUGGGGAGUACGGCCGCAAGGUUAAAACUCAAAUGAAUUGACGGGGGCCCGCACAAGCGGUGGAGCAUGUGGUUUAAUUCGAUGCUACGCGAAGAACCUUACCACCCUUUGACAUCCUGUUCGGGGAUUAUAGAGAUAUUUUCCUUCGGUUCGGCCGGAACAGUGACAGGUGUUGCAUGGCUGUCGUCAGCUCGUGUCGUGAGAUGUUGGGUUAAGUCCCGCAACGAGCGCAACCCUCAUCCUUUGUUGCCAGCGGAUAAUGCCGGGGACUCUAAGGAAACUGAUCGUGACAAGCGAGAGGAAGGUGGGGAUGACGUCAAGUCAUCAUGGGCCCUUACAGGGGUGGGGCUACACACGUGCUACAAUGGCGUUUUACAAUGGGUCGCUAGCUCGCGAGGGCAUGCUAAUCU
This 492-nucleotide ribosomal RNA is filed under the name uncultured bacterium. RNAcentral describes it as "bacterial SSU rRNA". It matches the Rfam family "Bacterial small subunit ribosomal RNA", at positions 791 to 1274 of the family's 1533-position model. The record is from RNAcentral.